Long non-coding RNA from Carassius carassius (crucian carp), 467 nucleotides. RefSeq lists it as uncharacterized. The transcript is spliced from 4 exons. The record is from RefSeq and is a predicted model, not a curated record. Lineage: Eukaryota; Metazoa; Chordata; Actinopteri; Cypriniformes; Cyprinidae.
AACUCUAAAUUGUGGGGGGAAAGUCAGAAUUGUGAGACAAACUUGUAACUGCUGGGGGAAAAGUCUGAAUUAUGAGAUAUAAACUCCUAACUGUGAAGAAAAAAAAAAUUUGUGACAUACUUUGCAAAAGUAAAAAGUCUGAAUUAUGAGAUAUAAACUCAUAAUUGUGGGAAAAAAGUCAGAAUUGUGAGACAAACUUGUAAUUGCUGGGGGAAAAGUCUGUAUUAUGAGAUAUAAACUCCUAACUGUGAAGAAAAAAAUCAGAUUUGUGAUAUAAACUAACAUUUGAGAGAAAAAAGUCUGAAUUAUGAAAUAUAAACUCAUAAUUGUGGGAAAAAAAUCAGAAUUGUGAGACAAACUUGUAAUUGCUGGGGGAAAAGUCUGAAUUAUGAGAUAUAAACUCCUAACUGUGAAGAAAAAAUUCAGAUUUGUGAUAUAGACUAACAUUUCCGAAAGACAAAAGUCGG